Molecule: ribosomal RNA, 254 nt
Filed under: uncultured bacterium
Lineage: Bacteria
Description: partial 16S ribosomal RNA
Rfam family: Bacterial small subunit ribosomal RNA
Source: RNAcentral
UACGUAGGGGGCGAGCGUUGUCCGGAAUUACUGGGCGUAAAGGGCGCGCAGGCGGCCGUGUAAGUCCGCUGUGAAAGACCGGGGCUCAACCCCGGGGGUGUCAGCGGGGACUGCACGGCUGGAGUCCCGGAGAGGGAGGCGGAAUACCUGGUGUAGCGGUGGAAUGCGUAGAGAUCAGGUGGAACACCGAUGGCGAAGGCAGCCUCCUGGACGGGUACUGACGCUGAGGCGCGAAAGCUAGGGGAGCGAACAGG